UACGUAGGGAGCAAGCGUUGUCCGGAAUCAUUGGGCGUAAAGCGCGCGUAGGCGGCCCUGUAAGUCCGUUGUGAAAGUCAAAGGCUCAACCUUUGAAAGCCGAUGGAUACUGCAGGGCUAGAGUCCGGAAGAGGCGAGUGGAAUUCCUGGUGUAGCGGUGGAAUGCGUAGAUAUCGGGAGGAACACCAGUGGCGAAGGCGGCUAUCUGGGCUGAAACUGACGCUGAGGCGCGAAGGCUAGGGGAGCAAACAGG
RNAcentral lists this ribosomal RNA (253 nucleotides) under uncultured bacterium. RNAcentral's name for it is "partial 16S ribosomal RNA". It matches the Rfam family "Bacterial small subunit ribosomal RNA", at positions 524 to 776 of the family's 1533-position model. The record is from RNAcentral.